GCCUCCAUGGGGUAGUGGUACUGACCCAUCGACCUGAGCUUUCGCUCAUUAGAUGUGGUCGGCGGUUCGAAUCCGCCUGGGGGUU
This is a non-coding RNA of Mycena epipterygia, 85 nucleotides long. The record is from the annotation of a GenBank genome assembly. NCBI's taxonomy places the organism in Eukaryota, Fungi, Basidiomycota, Agaricomycetes, Agaricales, Mycenaceae.